CCUGGGAACGGGUUCCGGCAGACGCUGAGGUUGCGUUGACGCUCGCGCCCCGGCUCCCGUUCCAGG
Molecule: microRNA precursor, 66 nt
Organism: Homo sapiens (human)
Lineage: Eukaryota; Metazoa; Chordata; Mammalia; Primates; Hominidae
Product: microRNA 1292
Source: Ensembl